This 3023-nucleotide ribosomal RNA is filed under the name Thermoanaerobacterium thermosaccharolyticum DSM 571. Its description in RNAcentral is "bacterial LSU rRNA". It matches the Rfam family "Bacterial large subunit ribosomal RNA". The record is from RNAcentral. Lineage: Bacteria; Bacillati; Bacillota; Clostridia; Thermoanaerobacterales; Thermoanaerobacteraceae.
UCAAGUUACAAAGGGCGUAUGGUGGAUGCCUAGGCACUUAGAGCCGAAGAAGGACGCAGCGAGCGGCGAAACGCUCCGGGGAGUCGCAAGCAGACGUAGAUCCGGAGAUCUCCGAAUGGGGAAACCCGCUUAAGGUAAUACUUAAGCAUCCCAUGGUGAACACAUAGCCAUGAGGAGGGGACACCGCGUGAACUGAAACAUCUAAGUAGCGCGAGGAGAAGAAAGAAAAAGUCGAUUUCCUAAGUAGCGGCGAGCGAAAAGGAAAGAGCCCAAACCAUCACCGCAGGUGAUGGGGUUUAGGACCACGAGAAGGUAUAUGGAGUGAAGCCGAACAGACCUGGGAAGGCAGGCCAAAGAAGGUGAAAGCCCUGUAGGCGUAAGCGAAAUAUACCGAGUGGGAUCCAGAGUACCACAGGAUAGGCAACCCGGUGGGAAGACGGGAGGACCAUCUCCCAAGGCUAAAUACUCCUAAGUGACCGAUAGCGCAAAGUACCGUGAGGGAAAGGUGAAAAGAACCCCGGGAGGGGAGUGAAAGAGAACCUGAAACCAUAUGUCCACAAGCAGUGGAAGUCCGGCACUCAACUGAACAUGUUAGAGAGAAGAAAAAAAGAACUAGCGUGUCCAGUUGAGAGCCGGACGACCACGUACUUUUUGUAGAACGGACCGGCGAGUUAUAGAUAUGCAGCGAGGUUAAGCGAAAGCGGAGCCGAAGCGAAAGCGAGUCUUAAGAGGGCGAAAGUUGCAUAUCAUAGACCCGAAACCGUGCGACCUACCCAUGAUCAGGGUGAAGCCGGAGUAAGAUCUGGUGGAGGCCCGAACCACGUUGACGUUGAAAAGUCAUGGGAUGAAUUGUGGGUAGCGGAGAAAUUCCAAUCGAGCUCGGAGAUAGCUGGUUCUCCCCGAAAUAGCUUUAGGGCUAGCCUCAGGGGGGGUAAAUAUGGAGGUAGAGCACUGAAUGGACUAGGGGCCAAAAAGGUUACCGAACCCUAUCAAACUCCGAAUGCCAUAUUGAGAACCCUGGGAGUCAGACUACGAGUGAUAAGAUCCGUGGUCAAAAGGGAAACAGCCCAGACCGACAGCUAAGGUCCCAAAGAGCAUGUUAAGUGGGAAAGGAAGUAGGAUUUCCAAGACAACCAGGAUGUUGGCUUAGAAGCAGCCAUACAUUCAAAGAGUGCGUAAUAGCUCACUGGUCGAGAAAUCCCGCGCCGAAAAUAAACGGGGCUAAAACAUGCCACCGAAGCUACGGAUUCGAAAGAAUGGUAGGGGAGCGUACUGUACAGGGCGAAGGAUAAGCGUAAGCGAAUCUGGACAGUACAGUAGAGAGAAUGCCGGUAUAAGUAACGAGAGUAAGGCGAGAAACCUUACCGUCGAAAGCCUAAGGUUUCCUGGGGAAGGAUAAUCCGCCCAGGGUAAGUCGGGACCUAAGCCGAGGCGAAAGCGUAGGCGAUGGACAACCGGUAAUAAAUCCGGUACCACCGAAAUCCGUCAAAAGAGAAGCAAGGACGCAGCGAGAUAAGAAAAGCGUGCGGUUGGUAGAGCACGUCCAAGCAGCGACGAAAAGAGCUUUGAGUGAAGUACCAAAGCUCAUAAGAGCUGUGAAGGGGAGCCGAAAGGCGAAGUUUCGAAGGGGCUGCCAAGAAAAGUUGCUAUCGAGGAUAGAGGUGCCCGUACCAGAAACCGACACAGGUAGGCGAGGAGAGAAUCCAAAGACGAGCGGGAGAACCCUCAUUAAGGAACUCGGCAAAAAGACUCCGUAACUUCGGGAGAAGGAGUGCCGAAAGGCCGCAGAGAAGAGGCCCAAGCGACUGUUUACCAAAAACACAGGUUUCUGCUAAGUCGAAAGACGAAGUAUAGGAGCUGACGCCUGCCCGGUGCUGGAAGGUUAAGGGGAAGGGUCAGGAGGAAAUCCAAAGCUCUGAACUUAAGCCCCAGUAAACGGCGGCCGUAACUAUAACGGUCCUAAGGUAGCGAAAUUCCUUGUCGGGUAAGUUCCGACCUGCACGAAAGGCGUAACGACUUGGGCGCUGUCUUGAUGGGGGACCCGGUGAAAUUGUAGUACUCGUGAAGAUGCGAGUUACCCGCGACAGGACAGAAAGACCCCAUGGAGCUUUACUGCAGCUUGUCACUGAAUUUUAGUAAUAUCUGUACAGGAUAGGUGGGAGGCGGAGAAAGAUGGGCGCAAGCCUAUCUGGAGCCGACGUUGGGAUACCACCCUGAUAUUACCGAAAUUCUAACAUAGGAGCCGUAAGCCGGCAUAUGGACACUGACAGGCGGGCAGUUUGACUGGGGCGGUCGCCUCCCAAAGAGUAACGGAGGCGUCCAAAGGUUACCUCAGCGCGGAAGGAAAUCGCGCGUAAGAGUGCAAAGGCAGAAGGUAGCCUAACUGCGAGAAAGACAAUUCGAGCAGGGACGAAAGUCGGGCUUAGUGAUCCGGCGGUAGAGAAUGGGAUUGCCGUCGCUCAACGGAUAAAAGCUACCCUGGGGAUAACAGGCUGAUCUCCCCCAAGAGUCCACAUCGACGGGGAGGUUUGGCACCUCGAUGUCGGCUCAUCGCAUCCUGGGGCUGAAGUAGGUCCCAAGGGUUGGGCUGUUCGCCCAUUAAAGCGGUACGCGAGCUGGGUUCAGAACGUCGUGAGACAGUUCGGUCCCUAUCCGUCGCGGGCGUAGGAAAUUUGAGAGGAACUGCCCUUAGUACGAGAGGACCGGGGUGGACAAACCGAUGGUGUACCAGUUGCGAAGCCAUUCGCACAGCUGGGUAGCCAAGUUUGGAAGGGAUAAACGCUGAAAGCAUCUAAGCGUGAAACCCACCUCAAGAAAAGAUUUCCCAUCUGGCACUCAACUAUACUUACUGAAGGAAAAAAGCACUAUGUACAAAUGUUAGGGAAUGAAAUAAAAUAGAUUACAGUAGGUAGAGUUGAGUGCCAGAGUAAGACACCUUGGAGAAGACGAGGUAGAUAGGCCGGAGGUGUAAGAGUAGAAAUACUUUGAGCUGACCGGUACUAAUAAGUCGAGGACUUGACCAA